Molecule: small nuclear RNA, 69 nt
Filed under: Dipodomys ordii (Ord's kangaroo rat)
Lineage: Eukaryota; Metazoa; Chordata; Mammalia; Rodentia; Heteromyidae
Source: RNAcentral
GUACUUGUAUUGGCAACACAUAUACUAAAACUAGAACAAUACAUAGAAGAUGAGCAUGGCCCUGUACAA